RNAcentral lists this ribosomal RNA (254 nucleotides) under uncultured bacterium. Its description in RNAcentral is "partial 16S ribosomal RNA". It matches the Rfam family "Bacterial small subunit ribosomal RNA", at positions 524 to 776 of the family's 1533-position model. The record is from RNAcentral.
CACGUAGGGUGCGAGCGUUGUCCGGAAUUAUUGGGCGUAAAGAGCUCGUAGGCGGUGUGUCGCGUCGGCCGUGAAAACCUGCAGCUUAACUGUGGGCUUGCGGUCGAUACGGGCAUCACUGGAGUUCGGCAGGGGAGACUGGAAUUCCUGGUGUAGCGGUGGAAUGCGCAGAUAUCGGGAGGAACACCGGUGGCGAAGGCGGGUCUCUGGGCCGAUAUUGACGCUGAGGAGCGAAAGCGUGGGGAGCGAACAGG